This 468-nucleotide ribosomal RNA is filed under the name uncultured bacterium. RNAcentral describes it as "partial 16S ribosomal RNA". It matches the Rfam family "Bacterial small subunit ribosomal RNA", at positions 28 to 507 of the family's 1533-position model. The record is from RNAcentral.
GACGAACGCUGGCGGCGUGCUUAACACAUGCAAGUCGAACGGAAAGGCCCUGCUUUUGUGGGGUGCUCGAGUGGCGAACGGGUGAGUAACACGUGAGUAACCUGUCCUUGACUUUGGGAUAACCUCAGGAAACUGGGGCUAAUACCGGAUAGGAGCUCCCGCCGUAUGGUGGGGGUUGGAUAGUUUCGGUGGUUGGGGAUGGACUCGCCGCCUAUCAGCUUGUUGGUGGGGUAGUGGCUUACCAAGGCCUUGACCGGUAGCCGGCCUGGGAGGGUCACCGGCCACAUUGGGACUGAGAUACGGCCCAGACUCGUACGGGAGGCAGCAGUGGGGAAUAUUGCACAAUGGGCGGAAGCCUGGUGCGGCAACGCCGCGUGCGGGAUGACGGCCUUCGGGUUGUGAACCACUUUCGCCUGUGACGAGGCGUGAGUGACGGUAAUGGGUAAAGAAGCACCGGCUAACUACGUG